CAGUAGCCGCGGUAAUACGUAGGGUGCAAGCGUUAAUCGGAAUUACUGGGCGUAAAGCGUGCGCAGGCGGUUAUAUAAGACAGAUGUGAAAUCCCCAGGCUCAACCUGGGAACUGCAUUUGUGACUGUAUAGCUAGAGUACGGCAGAGGGGGAUGGAAUUCCGCGUGUAGCAGUGAAAUGCGUAGAUAUGCGGAGGAACACCGAUGGCGAAGGCAAUCCCCUGGGCCUGUACUGACGCUCAUGCACGAAAGCGUGGGGAGCAAACAGGAUUAGAUACCCGAGUAGUCCCUGUCUCUUAUAU
Molecule: ribosomal RNA, 301 nt
Filed under: uncultured bacterium
Lineage: Bacteria
Description: partial 16S ribosomal RNA
Rfam family: Bacterial small subunit ribosomal RNA
Source: RNAcentral